CCUACGGGUGGCAGCAGUGGGGAAUAUUGGACAAUGGGCGAAAGCCUGAUCCAGCCAUGCCGCGUGUGUGAAGAAGGCCUUCGGGUUGUAAGGCACUUUCAGUGGGGAAGAAAGCCUUGGGGCUAAUACCCUCGAGGAAGGACAUCACCCACAGAAGAAGCACCGGCUAACUCCGUGCCAGCAGCCGCGGUAAUACGGAGGGUGCGAGCGUUAAUCGGAAUUACUGGGCGUAAAGCGCGCGUAGGCGGUCUGAUAAGCCGGUUGUGAAAGCCCCGGGCUCAACCUGGGAACGGCAUCCGGAACUGUCAGGCUAGAGUGCAGGAGAGGAAGGUAGAAUUCCCGGUGUAGCAGUGAAAUGCGUAGAGAUCGGGAGGAAUACCAGUGGCGAAGGCGGCCUUCUGGACUGACACUGACGCCGAGGUGCGAAAGCGUGGGUAGCAAACAGGAUUAGAUACCCUAGUAGUC
RNAcentral lists this ribosomal RNA (465 nucleotides) under Vreelandella stevensii. RNAcentral's name for it is "partial 16S ribosomal RNA". It matches the Rfam family "Bacterial small subunit ribosomal RNA", at positions 338 to 795 of the family's 1533-position model. Lineage: Bacteria; Pseudomonadati; Pseudomonadota; Gammaproteobacteria; Oceanospirillales; Halomonadaceae. The record is from RNAcentral.